AAUGUGAAUUGCAGAAUUCAGUGAAUCAUCGAAUCUUUGAACGCACAUUGCGCCCCCUGGUAUUCCGGGGGGCAUGCCUGUUCGAGCGUCAUUUCACCACUCAAGCCUGGCUUGGUAUUGGGCGUCGCGGGUCUCCGCGCGCCUUAAAGUCUCCGGCUGAG
Molecule: ribosomal RNA, 161 nt
Filed under: Mycosphaerella arbuticola
Lineage: Eukaryota; Fungi; Ascomycota; Dothideomycetes; Mycosphaerellales; Mycosphaerellaceae
Description: 5.8S ribosomal RNA
Rfam family: 5.8S ribosomal RNA (bases 1-91)
About the family: 5.8S ribosomal RNA (5.8S rRNA) is a component of the large subunit of the eukaryotic ribosome. It is transcribed by RNA polymerase I as part of the 45S precursor that also contains 18S and 28S rRNA.
Source: RNAcentral